CUUUUAUAGGAAAGCAGCAAUCCAUUGGUUU
RNAcentral lists this transfer RNA (31 nucleotides) under Podarcis siculus (Italian wall lizard). RNAcentral's name for it is "partial tRNA-Leu". The record is from RNAcentral. Lineage: Eukaryota; Metazoa; Chordata; Lepidosauria; Squamata; Lacertidae.